UACGUAGGGUGCAAGCGUUAAUCGGAAUUACUGGGCGUAAAGCGUGCGCAGGCGGCUUUGCAAGACAGAUGUGAAAUCCCCGGGCUCAACCUGGGAACUGCAUUUGUGACUGCAUGGCUAGAGUACGGUAGAGGGGGAUGGAAUUCCGCGUGUAGCAGUGAAAUGCGUAGAUAUGCGGAGGAACACCGAUGGCGAAGGCAGCCCCCUGGGUCAAGAUUGACGCUCAUGCACGAAAGCGUGGGGAGCAAACAGG
Molecule: ribosomal RNA, 253 nt
Filed under: uncultured bacterium
Lineage: Bacteria
Description: partial 16S ribosomal RNA
Rfam family: Bacterial small subunit ribosomal RNA
Source: RNAcentral